RNAcentral lists this ribosomal RNA (1530 nucleotides) under metagenome. RNAcentral describes it as "bacterial SSU rRNA". It matches the Rfam family "Bacterial small subunit ribosomal RNA". The record is from RNAcentral.
AGAGUUUGAUUCUGGCUCAGAACGAACGCUGGCAGCGUGGAUUAGGCAUGCAAGUCGAACGGGAAGCCGAUGAUCAAUCUUCGGAGAGUGAUUCGGUGGAGAGUGGCGAAAGGGUGAGUAACGCGUGGGCAAUCUGCCCUCAAGCUCGGAAUAACACACCGAAAGGGGUGCUAAUACCGGAUGUGGUUACCUGCUGAUGGCAGGUUAAUUAAAGGUGGGGAUCCUUCGGGACCUGCCGCUUGUGGAUGAGCCCGCGUCCCAUCAGCUUGUUGGUAGGGUAACGGCCUACCAAGGCUUACGGGUAGGUGGUCUGAGAGGAUGGUCACCCACACUGGGACUGAGACACUGCCCAGACUCCUACGGGAGGCUGCAGUCGAGGAUCAUUCGCAAUGCGCGAAAGCGUGACGAUGCGACGCUGCGUGGAGGAUGACGGCCUUCGGGUUGUAAACUCCUGUCAUUCGGGAAAAAUUGUCCCGUGACGAAUAAUCACGGGAUUUGAUGGUACCGAAAGAGGAAGCCACGGCUAACUCUGUGCCAGCAGCCGCGGUAAUACAGAGGUGGCGAGCGUUGUUCGGAUUUACUGGGCGUAAAGAGUGCGUAGGCGGUACUGUAUGUCGGUUGUGAAAGCCCAUGGCUCAACUAUGGAAUUGCGACCGAAACUGCAGAACUUGAGUACAGGAGGGGAGGGCGGAAUUCUUGGUGUAGCGGUGAAAUGCGUUGAUAUCAAGAAGAACACCGGUGGCGAAGGCGGCUCUCUGGAAUGUUACUGACGCUGAGGCACGAAAGCUGGGGGAGCAAACAGGAUUAGAUACCCUGGUAGUCCCAGCCGUAAACGGCGUGGACUUGGUGUUGGAGGUAUUGACCCCUCCAGUGCCGGAGCUAACGCGUUAAGUCCACCGCCUGGGGAGUACGGCCGCAAGGUUAAAACUCAAAGAAAUUGACGGGGGCCCACACAAGCGGAGGAGCAUGUGGCUUAAUUCGAUGCAACGCGAAGAACCUUACCAGGGCUUGACAUGGUACUGCACACUCCCUGAAAGGGGAGGAGCCUUCGAGGGUGUACCACAGGUGCUGCAUGGCUGUCGUCAGUUCGUGCCGUGAGGUGUUGGGUUAAGUCCCGCAACGAACGCAACCCUUGUGUUUAGUUGCCACUCAGUCUUUGACUGAAGCACUCUAGACAGACUGCCCGUACAAGCGGGAGGAAGGUGGGGAUGACGUCAAGUCAGUAUGGCCCUUACGUCCUGGGCUGCACACGUGCUACAAUGGUCGGUACAGUGGGCUGCAAUACCGCGAGGUGGAGCUAAUCCCCAAAACCGGCCCCAGUUCGGAUAGGAGUCUGCAACUCGACUCCUUGAAGUCGGAUUCGCUAGUAACGGCGUAUCAGCUACGACGCCGUGAAUACGUUCCCGGGCCUUGUACACACCGCCCGUCACAUCAUGAAAGCCGUCUGCACCCGAAGUCACUAAGCCAACCCGCAAGGGAGGCAGGUGCCGAAGGUGUGGGUGGUGAUUGGGAUGAAGUCGUAACAAGGUA